UACGUAGGGGGCAAGCGUUGUCCGGAAUUAUUGGGCGUAAAGCGCGCGUAGGCGGCUAUCUAAGUCGGAUGUGAAAGCCCCUGGCUUAACUGGGGAAGUGCACCCGAAACUGGGUAGCUAGAGUGCGAAAGAGGGUCGCGGAAUUCCCGGUGUAGAGGUGAAAUUCGUAGAUAUCGGGAGGAACACCGGUGGCGAAGGCGGCGACCUGGGUCGACACUGACGCUGAGGCGCGAAAGCGUGGGGAGCAAACAGG
Molecule: ribosomal RNA, 253 nt
Filed under: uncultured bacterium
Lineage: Bacteria
Description: partial 16S ribosomal RNA
Rfam family: Bacterial small subunit ribosomal RNA
Source: RNAcentral